Molecule: ribosomal RNA, 1345 nt
Filed under: uncultured bacterium
Lineage: Bacteria
Description: bacterial SSU rRNA
Rfam family: Bacterial small subunit ribosomal RNA
Source: RNAcentral
GAUGAACGCUAGCGGGAGGCCUAACACAUGCAAGCCGAGCGGUAUUUGUUCUUCGGGACAGAGAGAGCGGCGUACGGGUGCGGAACACGUGUGCAACCUGCCUUUAUCUGGGGGAUGGCCUUUCGAAAGGAAGAUUAAUACCCCAUAAUAUAUAGACUGGCAUCAGUUUAUAUUGAAAACUCCGGUGGAUAGAGAUGGGCACGCGCAAGAUUAGAUAGUUGGUGAGGUAACGGCUCACCAAGUCAGUGAUCUUUAGGGGGCCUGAGAGGGUGAUCCCCCACACUGGUACUGAGACACGGACCAGACUCCUACGGGAGGCAGCAGUGAGGAAUAUUGGACAAUGGGUGAGAGCCUGAUCCAGCCAUCCCGCGUGAAGGACUAAGGCCCUAUGGGUUGUAAACUUCUUUUAUACUGGGAUAAACCUACUUACGUGUAAGUAGCUGAAGGUACAGUAUGAAUAAGCACCGGCUAACUCCGUGCCAGCAGCCGCGGUAAUACGGAGGGUGCAAGCGUUAUCCGGAUUUAUUGGGUUUAAAGGGUCCGUAGGCGGAUCUGUAAGUCAGUGGUGAAAUCUCAUAGCUUAACUAUGAAACUGCCAUUGAUACUGCAGGUCUUGAGUGAGAUUGAGGUAGCUGGAAUAAGUAGUGUAGCGGUGAAAUGCAUAGAUAUUACUUAGAACACCAAUUGCGAAGGCAGGUUACCAAGUCUUAACUGACGCUGAUGGACGAAAGCGUGGGGAGCGAACAGGAUUAGAUACCCUGGUAGUCCACGCCGUAAACGAUGCUAACUCGUUUUUGGGGCUUUGGCUUCAGAGACUAAGCGAAAGUGAUAAGUUAGCCACCUGGGGAGUACGAUCGCAAGAUUGAAACUCAAAGGAAUUGACGGGGGCCCGCACAAGCGGUGGAGCAUGUGGUUUAAUUCGAUGAUACGCGAGGAACCUUACCAAGACUUAAAUGGGAAAUGACAGGUUUAGAAAUAGAUCCUUCUUCGGACAUUUUUCAAGGUGCUGCAUGGUUGUCGUCAGCUCGUGCCGUGAGGUGUUAGGUUAAGUCCUGCAACGAGCGCAACCCCUGUCACUAGUUGCUAACAUUAAGUUGAGGACUCUAGUGAGACUGCCUACGCAAGUAGAGAGGAAGGUGGGGAUGACGUCAAAUCAUCACGGCCCUUACGUCUUGGGCCACACACGUGCUACAAUGGCCAGUACAGAGGGCAGCUACCAGGUGACUGGAUGCGAAUCUCGAAAGCUGGUCUCAGUUCGGAUUGGAGUCUGCAACUCGACUCUAUGAAGCUGGAAUCGCUAGUAAUCGCGCAUCAGCCAUGGCGCGGUGAAUACGUUCCCGGGCCU